UUUAGUAGUUAUACAUGCUUAAAAUAUUUAUUUUGGCUGGACACAAUGGCUCAUUCCUCUAAUCCUAACACUUUGGGAGGCCAAGGUGGUGAAAGGAUUGCUUGGGUUCAGGAGUUUGAGGUCAGCCAGGGCAACACAGUGAGACCCCAUCUUUACAAAAAAUAAAAAAUUAGCUGGGUGUGGUGGUUCAGCUCUGAAAAUGAUUGAUUUUUUUCCUAUAUUUCAGUAUAGUAAAGUAACUGCCUAAGGGGUUCUUCCUGACUUGUAAUAAGGAGAGUUUAGUAGAUACGAGGCCUGCAACACCACAUGGGAGAUGGAGUUUACUCAAAUCAUCUCCUCUGAAGCUCAUAGGUUA
This is a long non-coding RNA of Homo sapiens (human), 355 nucleotides long. Lineage: Eukaryota; Metazoa; Chordata; Mammalia; Primates; Hominidae. The record is from Ensembl.